Stegodyphus dumicola is the source of this 2743-nucleotide long non-coding RNA. The record is from RefSeq and is a predicted model, not a curated record. NCBI's taxonomy places the organism in Eukaryota, Metazoa, Arthropoda, Arachnida, Araneae, Eresidae.
UUGUGUAUUUAGAUAACCGUAUUGCUUUUUAUUAUUUCUGUAGAUCAAUUUUGAAAUCAGAGUAUUGAGCAGUUUCUUUUUUAGACAGGAACUGUUUUUCAAUAAAAAUUGGCUAUUCAUGGAUGAAUUUCUGAAAUUGAUCUUUAAUAUGGGAAUACAUAUAUAUUUUUAGUGUUUAGGGAUGUGAAUAGAAAUGUUUCAGGAUGUCAUUCAAUCCGGAGGUCAAGUCGCUGUUUCAAAUGCCAUUUAUGUCCAUAUGUGUCUUAUGUCAGUUCUUGGUACUUGAGACGACAUAUGUUAUGCCAUACCCAGGAUAGACCUUUUGUGUGUGAUAUUUGUCAUAAAUCAUUCAAUCAAAAAGGAAACUUAAAAGUGCACAGAUUAACUCAUAUCCUUGGGAAAAGAUUCCAUAGAUCAUAAUUUUGGUAUCACGAAUUAAGAAUUGGUUUACAUUGUAAUUUCAAAUUUAUUUAGUUACUUUCCAUGGUUUGUUUUAAAUUAUACGUAUAUAGAUUUAUCUUUAUAAAGAAGAAAUGAAAUAAAACUGGAAUUGUAUUUAUCUCUGAACAUGGUGCAAUACUAAAAUGGAAAGGGGGAAAAAAAAGUGAAAAUCGAAGUAGUAUUUUUCAACAUCUGCCAAGUUUUAAAGUUUUUGCCCUACAGUGGAAAAAGAGAUAACCAGAUGCACAAGGAACUUGUAUAUUUAUGUAUUUAUAUAUUGGCAUCUGCGGUAAAUGUCUCAACAAGUAAAAAUACUACUAAAUCAUGAUAAGCAACAUUGCUAAUUAACUCUAAUGUAGCUUGUAUAAAAAUAUUAUGCUGGUUAAUUACUUAUGAAGCAUCUUAAUAAGCAUUGAAGAAGGAAGUGCUAAGCACAACUUGCCACUGAAUGCAUUGGAUGAAGCUGCAGCUUUAUUUAGGAGAAUGUUUCCUGAUGGCGAAAUUGCUAAGAAAUGCAAGAGCCGAAAUGACUGCAAUUAUUAAAGAAAUGGGUUAUUAUCAUGUGGAAAGAGAUUGUUUAUCAAGGAAAUAUCAUUGUGCUUUAUGUUCUUACACAACAAAUAAAAUUUCAAAUUACAAAAGUCAUGAACUAGCUCAUACUCAAGAACGCUCAUUUGUUUGCAAUAUUUGUUUGAAGCGAUUUAAUCAUAGGUCUAAUUUGAAAGCUCACUCUAGAAUACAUACUGGGGAAAAGCCAUAUUGUUGUGAUUUGUGCCAUCGGACAUUUACAUUUUGUUCAAGUUUUCGGAAGCAUAUGUUUAGGUGCCCUGGUUUGGUUGACUAAGUGGUGUUUAUUUUCCAGGGAUCUAUUCUUAUUAAUGGCUUAAGUUUUUGUCCAUGGAUGUACUAGUUAAACAUUUUAUUAAUACAGAAUCUAGUACUCAACCGUUUCUUAUAGUUAGAAAGAUAUAUUGUGAUUUGUUCUAUCGAAUAUUUAAACUCUAUCUGUUGUUAAAAGAACAAAAUGUUGCUUUUUGUGCUGUUUGCUCUAAAUAAUUAUAAAAUAAUAAAAACAUUACUAUAAAAAUUGUAGUAAUAUUGGGUUUUAACGAAAGUUUUCCGGCACCACAAAACAGUUCGCGUUGGCAUGUUUAAUCAUAUUUUGUCAAACGAUUUUUGGUAUUUGAAAGAAAGAGAUUUGUGUUAGAACAUUUUGUAAAAUUUGUUAAAAAAAAAGAUGAAGAAGUAUCGUUAUCACUGAGUACAAAGUGACUGAAAUGGAGCUAUCAUGCUACCAGAUUAGAACCAUCAUUUACUUCCAGUUCUGUAAGAAAAAAAGAUGGGGUAGAAUCUGUUCUGGUCUGUUUUUGGCAGAAUGCCACCAAAUCAUGUGUACAAUUUUAGGUACUAAUGUUGUAUCAUAUGACACUGAAAAUCUGAUGUCAAAAGUUCAAAAGCAAGGACUAUGAAGAAACAGAGCACUCUGGCCAGCCUACUGAUGUUGAUAAGGCCCACUUGCAAGAACUUGUGGAAGAUGAGUAUGUAACCACUCAAUAGCUUGCUAAGAAGAUAGACAUUAAUGCAAUGUCCAUUAGUUGUGCUAUGCAUCACAAAAAAAGUUCAAUUGCUGGGUGCCACAUAAGCCUACUGAAGCAGAUAAAGACAGUUGUGUUCGGGCCUGCACUGAUCUGCUCGAGUAUCAGUGCAGAGACAAAAUUAUGUAUCAGAUUGUCAGUUGUGAUGAAAAGUGGGUUUAUGUCAACAACACAGGCCGAAAAGGAGUUUCGUCUGUCCCAGUGAGCCCACCACAAAAUGCAGUUUGACUAACAAAAAGAUGAUGCUUUGUAUCUGGUGUGAUUUCUGUGGUAUUAUCCACAAAGAAUAUAUGGUGAAAGAUGAAACCCUCAAUAGUAAGGUGUACAGAGAAAUGCUAGUCCGUGUUGAUGCUGCUAUCAAGGAAAAACUUUGAAUUGAGUUCUGGUACAAAAAGGUAAUGUUCCAUCAAGAUUAUGCAAGACCACAUGCAUCUGCAUUCAUCGUCUGCACUCUAUACACACUCAAAUGGGAUCUUUUGCCAAACCCACCUUAUAGCCCUGACAUCGUUGCUUCAGACUCCUAUCUUUUUUCACACCUGCAACUACAUCUUGUUGGUGCUAUCUUCCAUUCCGCACAGGACAUCCGGAAUAAGGUUGAUAUGUUUUUGGACUCGGAGCCAGCCACCAAAUAUCUGGACUGAAGGCUUUGAAAGUUAUCAAAACAAUGGCAAAGAAUCAUAGACUUGGGUGGUGAUUACUGCCUGCAC